This 253-nucleotide ribosomal RNA is filed under the name uncultured bacterium. Its description in RNAcentral is "partial 16S ribosomal RNA". It matches the Rfam family "Bacterial small subunit ribosomal RNA", at positions 524 to 776 of the family's 1533-position model. The record is from RNAcentral.
UACGUAGGGGGCAAGCGUUGUCCGGAUUCAUUGGGCGUAAAGAGCGUGUAGGCGGCCAGGUAGGUCGGUUGUGAAAACUGGAGGCUCAACCUUCAGAGGUCGACCGAAACCAUCUGGCUAGAGUCCGGGAGAGGAGAGUGGAAUUCCUGGUGUAGCGGUGAAAUGCGCAGAUAUCAGGAAGAACACCCGUGGCGAAAGCGGCUCUCUGGACCGGUACUGACGCUGAGACGCGAAAGCGUGGGGAGCGAACAGG